CCUACGGGGAGCAGCAGUCGAGAAUCAUUCACAAUGGGGGAAACCCUGAUGGUGCGACGCCGCGUGGGGGAAUGAAGGUCUUCGGAUUGUAAACCCCUGUCAUGUGGGAGCAAAUUAAAAAGAUCGUACCACACGAGGAAGAGACGGCUAACUCUGUGCCAGCAGCCGCGGUAAUACAGAGGUCUCAAGCGUUGUUCGGAAUCACUGGGCGUAAAGCGUGCGUAGGCUGUUUCGUAAGUCGUGUGUGAAAGGCGCGGGCUCAACCCGCGGACGGCACAUGAUACUGCGAGACUAGAGUAAUGGAGGGGGAACCGGAAUUCUCGGUGUAGCAGUGAAAUGCGUAGAUAUCGAGAGGAACACUCGUGGCGAAGGCGGGUUCCUGGACAUUAACUGACGCUGAGGCACGAAGGCCAGGGGAGCGAAAGGGAUUAGAUACCCGAGUAGUC
This 446-nucleotide ribosomal RNA is filed under the name uncultured bacterium. RNAcentral describes it as "partial 16S ribosomal RNA". It matches the Rfam family "Bacterial small subunit ribosomal RNA", at positions 338 to 795 of the family's 1533-position model. The record is from RNAcentral.